AAAGCCUGAUCCAGCCAUGCCGCGUGAGUGAUGAAGGCCCUAGGGUUGUAAAGCUCUUUUGUACGGGAAGAUAAUGACGGUACCGUAAGAAUAAGCCCCGGCUAACUUCGUGCCAGCAGCCGCGGUAAUACGAAGGGGGCUAGCGUUGCUCGGAAUCACUGGGCGUAAAGGGUGCGCAGGCGGCCAUUCAAGUCGGGGGUGAAAGCCUGUGGCUCAACCACAGAAUUGCCUUCGAUACUGUUUGGCUUGAGUAUGGUAGAGGUCGGUGGAACUGCGAGUGUAGAGGUGAAAUUCGUAGAUAUUCGCAAGAACACCAGUGGCGAAGGCG
This 328-nucleotide ribosomal RNA is filed under the name Rhodosorus marinus. RNAcentral describes it as "partial Bacterial small subunit ribosomal RNA". It matches the Rfam family "Bacterial small subunit ribosomal RNA", at positions 378 to 723 of the family's 1533-position model. The record is from RNAcentral. Lineage: Eukaryota; Rhodophyta; Stylonematophyceae; Stylonematales; Stylonemataceae.